GACCACGGAUCGUUUUCUGCUACUGUAGCUGCUAUAGUAAUGGCGUCAGCAUUUGCUAUUGCACUAGUUGUCAUCUUUAUCCUACUUCGUCGCGGACAAACAUCCAGAGAGUAACUUGUUGACAUCAAAAAGGACUCAAUCGAAAAAUAAUAACAGGACUUGAACUGAUGAAAUUUAGCAGAUAUUUCUACAAACAAAUUUGUUACAUUUUUUUAAAUGACGUUUUCAAGUGCUAAUGUCUUUUUACCUAAAAUAAACCUAACGGAUUGUACGUUUUUUAAAUGGUAAUGGCUUAAUACAUACAAACAGAAAUUAAUCUUGGUACUCCAUAAGGUCCAUGAAUGGUUGAUUGUUUUGAAUAUUGAUAUCAUAUUAUAUGUAUGUAUGUAUGUAUAUGUGUAUGUAUGUGUGUUUGUAUGUAUGUAUGAAAGUGAUCCUUACUUUGAUAUAUAUUUGAGCACUGUAUUUAUUACCUAUUUGAUUUAUACAGUAUUUAUGUUUCCCAGUGCUUUUUCGUAGCUAAAAUUGGCUCCACUAUGUGUGAGCCCUCAAGUUGUAUGAAAUAGAGAGACUAGUGGUCUAGUGGUCACAUGAUCAUUCCAUUUUGUAUUUCUUGGUAAAAAGGGAGGUAUAGUCCUCCCCUGGGUUUAUAGCCUCUCUACCCAAACCAAUGGAUGCAUCGGCACACCUGCUUAGGUUAAUUUUUAUUAAUUCAUAUAUUUAUAUACUUAUUUUGUGUACCGAUGCUAUAUGGAUAUAAUAUUUUAAAUAAAGUUGAUUAACUGAUUA
Anneissia japonica is the source of this 789-nucleotide long non-coding RNA. RefSeq lists it as uncharacterized. The transcript has 2 exons. The record is from RefSeq and is a predicted model, not a curated record. Lineage: Eukaryota; Metazoa; Echinodermata; Crinoidea; Comatulida; Comatulidae.